RNAcentral lists this ribosomal RNA (171 nucleotides) under uncultured bacterium. Its description in RNAcentral is "partial 16S ribosomal RNA". It matches the Rfam family "Bacterial small subunit ribosomal RNA", at positions 355 to 537 of the family's 1533-position model. The record is from RNAcentral.
UGGGGAAUCUUGUGCGCAAUGGGCGAAAGCCUGACGGAGCGACGCCGCGGUGAAGGAAGAAGGCCUUCGGGUUGUAAACUCCUUUUCUGGGGGAAAAAGCCCCGGGUACGGGGAUGAAGGUACCCGGGUAAUACCGCGGGCCCACUCACGGGGAAAUACCCGGGUAUAAAA